UGGAAUUGAACAAGGAUGAAGAUCAGGCUCAGCCUGCCUUGGGUAUGCAAUUGGAGGUGAUGGCUCAUGAGCGGUAUGUGGUGGAACAAACUGGUUUGUGGGAAUGAAAUGAUGCAGAGUAUGUGGGUAGCUUUGUUGGUAAGGAUGAUACGCAUACGCGGGGUAAGGGUUAGGCGGUGGUGAUAGGUGAUAGCUCGGUGGUGGUGGGUGAUAGCCCGGCGAGAAAAAUGGCAGAUCCCACUGUUGCGGAGGUGACGAGAACUGCACUGAGUGGUAUGGGUACUGGUUUGAGUACCACGACGGCGGUUCAACGCCGUAAGGCAGAGACGCCGGUUGCCCAGCUCCCAGAUUCAUGGCUCUGGAUACCAAUUGUUAGGGUUUUACCCCUAACUGGGAAGAAACUACAACUAAGAAAUGAAAUACUGAUUUUUCUUCGAUAAGGAGCAACAGCUCAACGAGCAGUACAUAUAGAUAGGCUAUAGAAAGGAGCACAUGCGCAGCACGUGAGUACAUGAAUCUUAAAAUCAUAACACACACUAUCACUGUCAAGCUCCACACCACAUCUCU
RNAcentral lists this long non-coding RNA (567 nucleotides) under Fragaria vesca (wild strawberry). RNAcentral's name for it is "long non-coding RNA (FVES_LNC002097)". The record is from RNAcentral. Lineage: Eukaryota; Viridiplantae; Streptophyta; Magnoliopsida; Rosales; Rosaceae.